GAUGAACGCUGGCUACAGGCUUAACACAUGCCAGUCGAGGGGAAACGACGGGGAAGCUUGCUUCCCCGGGCGUCGACCGGCGCACGGGUGAGUAACGCGUAUCCAACCUGCCUCUGACUGAGGGAUAACCCGUCGAAAGUCGGCCUAAUACCUCAUGGUAUCGUCUGCGGGCAUCCAACGACGAUUAAAGAUUUCAUCGGUCAGGGAUGGGGAUGCGUCUGAUUAGCUUGUUGGCGGGGUAACGGCCCACCAAGGCUACGAUCAGUAGGGGUUCUGAGAGGAAGGUCCCCCAGAUUGGAACUGAGACACGGUCCAAACUCCUACGGGAGGCAGCAGUGAGGAAUAUUGGUCAAUGGGCGAGAGCCUGAACCAGCCAAGUAGCGUGCAGGAAGACGGCCCUAUGGGUUGUAAACUGCUUUUAGGCGGGGAUAAAGUGAGGGACGUGUCCCUCAUUGCAGGUACCGCAUGAAUAAGGACCGGCUAAUUCCGUG
RNAcentral lists this ribosomal RNA (491 nucleotides) under uncultured bacterium. RNAcentral describes it as "partial 16S ribosomal RNA". It matches the Rfam family "Bacterial small subunit ribosomal RNA", at positions 28 to 507 of the family's 1533-position model. The record is from RNAcentral.